This 61-nucleotide transfer RNA is filed under the name Hyalomma anatolicum. RNAcentral describes it as "tRNA-Gly". The record is from RNAcentral. Lineage: Eukaryota; Metazoa; Arthropoda; Arachnida; Ixodida; Ixodidae. RNAcentral also lists the same sequence under 1 other name.
AUUUAAUUAGUAUAAAGAGUACAUUUAAUUUCCAAUUAAAAAGUUUUGAAAAAAUUAAAUA